AACGUAGGAGACAAACGUUAUCCGGAGUUACUGGGCGUAAAGGGCGUGUAGGUGGUUUUGUAAGUCUGGCGUGAAAUAUCUCGGCUUAACCGAGGCAGGUCGUCGGAUACUGCAAGACUGGAGGACGGUAGAGGCGUGUGGAAUUCCGGGUGUAGUGGUGAAAUGCGUAGAUAUGCGGAGGAACACCGAUGGCGAAGGCAAUCCCCUGGGCCUGCACUGACGCUCAUGCACGAAAGCGUGGGGAGCAAACAGG
RNAcentral lists this ribosomal RNA (253 nucleotides) under uncultured prokaryote. Its description in RNAcentral is "partial 16S ribosomal RNA". It matches the Rfam family "Bacterial small subunit ribosomal RNA", at positions 524 to 776 of the family's 1533-position model. The record is from RNAcentral.